AUUUAGCAUGCUAGUUGUGCGGGUUUAGACCCGCAGCGGAAAGCUCAGUAACACGUGGCCAAGCUACCCUGUGGACGGGAAUACUCUCGGGAAACUGAGGCUAAUCCCCGAUAACGCUUUGCUCCUGGAAGGGGCAAAGCCGGAAACGCUCCGGCGCCACAGGAUGCGGCUGCGGUCGAUUAGGUAGACGGUGGGGUAACGGCCCACCGUGCCCAUAAUCGGUACGGGUUGUGAGAGCAAGAGCCCGGAGACGGAAUCUGAGACAAGAUUCCGGGCCCUACGGGGCGCAGCAGGCGCGAAACCUUUACACUGUACGAAAGUGCGAUAAGGGGACUCCGAGUGUGAAGGCAUAGAGCCUUCACUUUUGUACACCGUAAGGUGGUGCACGAAUAAGGACUGGGCAAGACCGGUGCCAGCCGCCGCGGUAAUACCGGCAGUCCGAGUGAUGGCCGAUCUUAUUGGGCCUAAAGCGUCCGUAGCUGGCUGAACAAGUCCGUUGGGAAAUCUGUCCGCUUAACGGGCAGGCGUCCAGCGGAAACUGUUCAGCUUGGGACCGGAAGACCUGAGGGGUACGUCUGGGGUAGGAGUGAAAUCCUGUAAUCCUGGACGGACCGCCGGUGGCGAAAGCGCCUCAGGAGAACGGAUCCGACAGUGAGGGACGAAAGCUAGGGUCUCGAACCGGAUUAGAUACCCGGGUAGUCCUAGCUGUAAACGAUGUCCGCUAGGUGUGGCGCAGGCUACGAGCCUGCGCUGUGCCGUAGGGAAGCCGAGAAGCGGACCGCCUGGGAAGUACGUCUGCAAGGAUGAAACUUAAAGGAAUUGGCGGGGGAGCACUACAACCGGAGGAGCCUGCGGUUUAAUUGGACUCAACGCCGGACAUCUCACCAGCCCCGACAGUAGUAAUGACGGUCAGGUUGAUGACCUUACCCGAGGCUACUGAGAGGAGGUGCAUGGGCCGCCGUCAGCUCGUACCGUGAGGCGUCCUGUUAAGUCAGGCAACGAGCGAGACCCGCACUCCUAAUUG
RNAcentral lists this ribosomal RNA (1024 nucleotides) under Halobacterium salinarum. RNAcentral describes it as "bacterial SSU rRNA". It matches the Rfam family "Archaeal small subunit ribosomal RNA", at positions 43 to 1066 of the family's 1478-position model. Lineage: Archaea; Methanobacteriati; Methanobacteriota; Halobacteria; Halobacteriales; Halobacteriaceae. The record is from RNAcentral.